GACGAACGCUGGCGGCGUGCUUAACACAUGCAAGUCGAACGGAAAGGCCCUGCUUUUGUGGGGUGCUCGAUUGGCGAACGGGUGAGUAACACGUGAGUAACCUGCCCUUGACUUUGGGAUAACUUCAGGAAACUGGGGCUAAUACCGGAUAGGAGCUCCUGCUGCAUGGGGGGGGUUGGAAAGUUUCGGCGGUUGGGGCUGGACUCGCGGCUUAUCAGCUUGUUGGUGGGGUAGUGGCCUACCACGGCUUUGACGGGUAGCCGGCCUGAGAGGGUGACCGGCCACAUUGGGACUGAGAUACGGCCCAGACUCCUACGGCAGGCAGCAGUGGGGAAUAUUGCACAGUGGGCGGAAGCCUGAUGCAGCAACGCCGCGUGCGGGAUGACGGCCUUCGGGUUGUAAACCGCUUUCGCCUGUGACGAAGCGUGAGUGACGGUAAUGGGUAAAGAAGCACCGGCUAACUACGUG
Molecule: ribosomal RNA, 468 nt
Filed under: uncultured bacterium
Lineage: Bacteria
Description: partial 16S ribosomal RNA
Rfam family: Bacterial small subunit ribosomal RNA
Source: RNAcentral